CCCCGGCGUCCCCCUCUCCCUCUGUCGGCCUUCCCUUGCCGUUCUGGCCGCCGGAGCAGCCCCGGCCAGCCCCGACCAGCAACCCACGAAAUGGGUUUCCAGCGGCUUUAGGCCCGCUUUUGAGCCGUUUCCGGGCCCCGAACCCGAGCCGUGCUUUGGAGUUUGUCGUUCCUCGCGUCGCCCCCGUCGGAUUGAUCCGAUUUGCGCGCGAUUUGGUGAGUAAUCUCACUAAUCCAGGAUUAGUUGGCUAAUUAUGCUUAAGGUUGGUUUAGUUUUAAUUAAUUAUGUUUAGGUUGUUAGAUUAGAAUAAAUUAGCAAUUAUUAGUCAAUUGUGAUGCAAUUUAGAUAAAUUGAUUGCGCAAUUAGCAAGUAGACGUGGUCUACUAAUUAUUGGAAGUGCCUUGGGAUUUUUCCCGACCCAAAUCGGGCUUCAAUUUGAUAAGUCGGGCCUAAGUGGAAUUUUUGGCAUUUAAAUAUUAAUUUUCGAAAUUAAUUAAUUAUUUAUUUAUUUUUCGGAAAUUCAACUUGGGUUAGUCGACGACCGAAAUUUCAUGGCGACCGUCGUGGUGAAGUCCGUUUAUUUAAUGGAGCUUUAUUUUGUGUUGAAUUGAAUUAUUUGCGAAGGUUGGGAAUUAUUCUUUAAUUGGAAAAUCGUUGGUUAUUAAUUGAAAAAUAACCAGGCAUCGUUUGAUAAUGCCAAAUCUAUUUGAGCGGACUACAGAAAAUGUGGGAGUUAUGGAAUGGAAAAUAUUAUAUUUUGGCUAAGGCCAGCCGUGUGCUCACGCACGAUAUUUUAUUGGGUGUUUUUAAUACAAAAACUUAGGCCACGACAUUAUUUGAAUUGACGAAUUUAAAUGCGCGGCACAAUGUCAUUGGGCCAUGAGGGAUUAAUCGUGUGUUGGCUUAUAGUUGAAGCAAUAUGAUUAUUGGAAGUUGAUGUGAUGUGUGUUGUGUUGAAGGGAACCAAUGGAUCAUAAGCAGGUAAUGGACUAAGUACUACACAAGUAGAAGACUUCGUGUGAGUUACCUCUAGUGCCUUAUACCAUUGCUUAUUGUAGUCAAGGACUAAGUAUUACAUGGCGACCUGAGCCGCAUGGGAAUUACCUCUAGCGCCUUGCAGCAUUGUAAUGUAUAGUAAAGGGCUAAGUGCUACGUCUCGUGUGAGUUACCUCUAGCGCCUUAUACUAUUGCUUUUGUAGUGAAGGACUAAGUACUGCAUGAUAGCGAGACUUCGUGUGAGUUACCUCUAGCGCCUUAUACUACUGUUAUUUGUGGUCAAGGACUAAGUGUUGCGCGAUGACGAGACUUUGUGCUGGGGUCACCUCUAGCGCCUUGAGCCUAUAUUUGAGUGGGAAUGUUGAAUGAGAAUGUUGAGAUUAAUUAUCAAGUAUGGAUGAAAUCAUCGUUAUGGUUUGAUUCGUUUGUUAUGGAUUGACUGAUUGAACUGAAUUGGCCGGGAAGGGUCAUUGUUGACAUGUAAUCGACGAGGUUGAUUGAUCAUUGCUUUGAUUUGAUGCUGUGAAUUGAUUGAUUGAAUUGAAAUGACCGUGAGUGGUCUUGUUGGCAUUUAAUCGACUAGGUCGAUUUGAUCGAUGCUUCGAUCAGCGAUAUGAUUGCUUGGGUGCCUAUUAUAAAUUGUACUGACUUGCAGGUGGGAUAUGAGGCCAAGGUACGUCUUCUACCCUGUGCGUGUAUAGGCAGCCUAUGGUAUAAUGGUUUACUAAUCGGGCUUAGUGGGGUAGAACUCGCUGAGACGUAGUCUCAUCCCAGUUUGGGGAAAACAUUUCAGGACCCCGAUGAGGAGCUGAUGAGGAGGUGUCUGAG
RNAcentral lists this long non-coding RNA (1824 nucleotides) under Eucalyptus grandis. RNAcentral describes it as "long non-coding RNA (EGRA_LNC005963)". Lineage: Eukaryota; Viridiplantae; Streptophyta; Magnoliopsida; Myrtales; Myrtaceae. The record is from RNAcentral.